This 345-nucleotide ribosomal RNA is filed under the name uncultured bacterium. RNAcentral's name for it is "bacterial SSU rRNA". It matches the Rfam family "Bacterial small subunit ribosomal RNA", at positions 8 to 334 of the family's 1533-position model. The record is from RNAcentral.
AGAGUUCGAUCCUGGCUCAGGACGAACGCUGGCGGCGUGCCUAACACAUGCAAGUCGAACGGAGCCAUCCGGCAGAACCCUUCGGGGUGACGCUGGUGAAGCUUAGUGGCGGACGGGUGAGUAACGCGUGAGUAACCUACCGGGAAGAGGGGAACAACACACCGAAAGGUGUGCUAAUACCGCAUAUUGCCGAAAUGUCGCAUGGGAUUUCGGUGAAAGAUUUUAUCGCUUCCUGAUGGACUCGCGUCUGAUUAGCUAGUUGGCGGGGUAAAGGCCCACCAAGGCGACGAUCAGUAGCCGGACUGAGAGGUUGAACGGCCACAUUGGGACUGAGACACGGCCCAG